UCUAGAGAACCUCAUGUCCCACACACAUAGGAGGACCUGCCAAGCCCCACAGCUCAUGGGCUACCAUAACAAUUACAGUCAAGGCUGUUUCCCACCCAGAGGCCCAACUGCCCCCACACAGAGACUACCAGCUGCAGAGUCCUCUACAAACAGGGUUCUACUCUCUCCUACCAUUCACUCCUCAGAGCUGCAAGCAUUAGAGAAGCUGAUUGUCCAGAACAAGCUUUGAACAAGUAAUGAAGUCUUUCCUCAACAGGACAACUAUCUACUUGUGUGAUGUGGAAGACAGGAAACACCCAUUGCCUGUUGCAUUCAUUUGCAUAAGCUCCUUAUGCACAAGGACACAGUGGAGAGAAAAGUGUUAACAAGCUUCCAGUCACUUGGUGCUAGGAAAACACAGGUCACACUGAGUACAGAAAUGAUGACCCCAAAGAAAGCCUCAUUCACUGAAUCUCCACGCCAUGACAGGCACUGAUGUGGAUGUUUUCUCAAUGAAAGCUCUGUGGUGUGUUAGUAUCUCAGUCUACGAUUAGAAAAUGGAGCUUUGAAUUAAUAUAUGCUCAAGGCCACCCUGAGAGUCCACCCCUACCUCUCUCGAAGCCAAUUAUCUUCAAUUAAGAGAGAAAUAUGUUCCGUCUGUAACUCAUCAAUAAGCUAAGCAAAUAAAGCAAGAUGUGAUAAUUUGCUUAAAAUCCAUCUGUUACCUUGGCUUGAACAUACCUUUUCUUUCAUUGAUACCUUAAAACAUUAUCCCCCAAAGAAAAGUUUGAUGGGCCAAUCCAAAUCCUAAAAGAAUCCUGGUAGAUGAACAGCCUACAGUCUCUAUCUCCUUGCUUAGCAUACGGCUACCUUAUACAGUGUGUCAACUGAGUUUCAUUCACUUCAAUUCUCAGAGAGUUUGCCCCUCUUGUUGUUCUGAAGCCUGAAGCCCUUGAUACAGUUAGUUUAGUGGUUUACUUGAUAUCUGAUCGGUUUGAUGACUAAAUCAGUUGUGUUAUAACAUGCGCUUGUCUAUUGAUACCCAAACAAUAAAUUUCAAGCCAUCUUCUUUGGGAAUUACGGUAAAGGAAAUAACCAUCAUUUCAAUUAUCAUGAAAAUAUUGACUGAAAGCCACGUUUCUCACUAAACACUCACAGAAUCCCUUUGGAACACGGCAUUGUUCAAAUGAUUAUAAAGGUAAAGAAGUAGAGGCCUUGUUCCCAUCUGUGGGAAUCUGCUGUUCAGUUAAUCUGGUGCAGUGUUCUUAAUCCUCUAAGAGGCCGUGCCUUUGAAGAACCUGAAAAAAAAGAUAGAGCCCCCAGAAACGCCUCUGAUGUGAUAAUAAUAGGAAUUGCAAAGAUGUCCUGAGGUUCUCUGUCACUCCAAGUCCAGGAACUCACUUUGGAAUGUUACAAGGAAUGGGGGCUCAGUUAGUGCCAACAUCAGCGAUAGUUUUUGGAGAGAAGAAAAUCUACUGUCAAUCGGACACAUGGCUGCAAGGAAGAGACAGGCAGCUGUGUGAAUAAAUGAAUGCAGUGGCCGAGAGUAACAAAGUCGAUGGUUCUACCAUGCUGGCAAUGGAUAAAAGUUGUGUGACUUAAAAUGAGGGACUUAACAGAAAGGAUCUGUGACCACACCAGGCACUCUCCGCUGCUACAAUAGUUCUGUAAUUGAUCCCACUCAGAACAAUGUCAGACCAUUGCUAACCCCUGGACUCUGCAUAGUGAUAAAAUUGAUCCAACCGGACAGGGCCUUUGAGCGGGACUCAUACCUGGUUAGCAAAGCUGGACCUAACAGUUGCUGGGAUACACUCCUCCAGGUUGGCAUCAUCAAAGAUGAUAGCAGGAUUCUUGCCUCCCAGCUCCAGGGAGAGCUUCUUGCAGUGGGGGGCACUUAGUUGGGUAAUCCGUUCUGCUGUGGGCUGGCUCCCAGUGAAGGAGAUCAAGGGUACCUCUGGGUGGGACACAAGGGCCUCACCAGCCCUCGGCCCUGUUCCAAACACAAUAUUGAUCACACCUGGUGGGACACCUGCAUGGGAAAUAAAACCAGUGGUAGUAAUUCUCCCAGGGUUACUGAGGAUACCUGAGGUGACCUGGUAGUCCAAAAGCUGGCAUGUGGGGUGGGGUGGGCUGCUGUGACUGCACCUGGAGAUUUUAUGACAAGCUCAAGUUAAUAACAAAGCCAAUCUACAAAGUCACCUCUGCUUAUAGAAUCCACCUGCUGGGGUUUUCUGGGUGCUUUGGCCUAGAAAGAUACAGAGUGGGUACAUUCUAAGAAACUCUGAUACUGACUAAGCUUUUGGGGCUGAUGUAGAAGUACCAUCAAGCAGAUCAAACCUCAUGUGGAGCGGGGACUGGCUCCAACUUGAUGCCCAGAAGUUGCAGACCAAGGUGACCAUGUUAAGUGGAUAUUGACUCAAGAUCCUGUGUCCUUGAUUAUAUACAGCGUCACUGCAGCCAAGAUCACAUGACAAAUACCAAGACCAUACAAAAGUCAAUGCCUCAAGCUUUUCUACUGCAAGACCCUUUAGACCCAAAUUUACAUGAAUAUAUUUACCUAUUCUCAGGAUUAAAUUCUUUAGGGUUCUCCUUGGAAGCAACCUACCAAUUCCCACCGGAGUGCGAACGGUGUAGUGCAUGCAGCCCAGGUGGCUCAUCUGUGUGCACUCCGAUACGUGAUGCAGGAUGGAGGAAGCAAAGAACCGGAAAUUCAGUACAGAUCGAGGAAUGUCCAUGGUCCUUGCCAGCGUGAGGGUUUUCCCUGUGGAAAAUGAACAACAUAAAAUGUUGCCUGUGUGUUUCACCUGGAGUCAUCUGACACCACGCUCAUUUCCAGCCCUCCCGAGGCACUUCUUCACUGCACUUGCGUGGAUCAAGCGAUGAACGACUUAGGCGUGAGGUUGUAGAAUAAGGUGGAGGUGGGCCUAAAAUAGAGCUAGAACGUUUCUGUGAACACCUCAAGCUUUCAUCAUGAAAGUACCAGAUGCUGCCGUUCCACGUGCAUGGGCGUUAGCAGCUUUGAAAUGAUUGGGUUGGAAUAAUGAGUGUUACAAUGACUGUGUGCAUCCUUAAACAUCUUCCAAAUACACUGAGGAGCCAUCAAGAGGCCUAGUGAGGAGAACCCUCAGCACAGGAUGCCAGCUUCUGUAUGGAGGAACCUUUCUUGAACUUCUCUCAGGUGACCCUCAGUGAUGAAGUACGACCACUGACCCGAGAACAAGAGCAAAAGAAAAAUUGUCCUUUCCGCUGGAGAGGUGGCUCAGCUGUUGGGAGCACUGGCUGCUCUUCCAGAGGUC
Long non-coding RNA from Mastomys coucha (southern multimammate mouse), 3275 nucleotides. RefSeq lists it as uncharacterized. The transcript is spliced from 3 exons. The record is from RefSeq and is a predicted model, not a curated record. NCBI's taxonomy places the organism in Eukaryota, Metazoa, Chordata, Mammalia, Rodentia, Muridae.